AGUGAGACUUCUUCCCAUAUUUCUUAAUCUUUGCGGGGCCUUUAUUUGGUCACAGGAAACGCACGAGGCUGUCAAACUGGGAGUGUAGCACAUGCGCAGUGGUGUUUUAUUAAUUAAUGUGAUGAAAUAUCGCGACCAUAGACAUCGCAACGCCAUUAAAUGUGGCAGCUGGAUGAGCAACAGAGUCGCUUCCGUGUUUCGGUUUGUCUGAAUAGUACAGACGGACAGAGAAGAGCUUCCUUCGUCUUCAUACUGUUUACUUCAGGACUCAACAGGUAACAGUGUUGGUAGACAGCGUCCCCUGCUGGUAAGACACUGUACGUGCGACAGAAAAAAUGAGCAUUUGAUAACUUACAGUCAAGAGGCCCGGGGUGGCUAAUCUGGAGGACCGGGACAAUUCCCGGUGGGCCGGUUUGAUGUUUGGGCCGCGAGGACGCACCGUGAAGUCACACGUCCGUGCACACGGUCAGAGGCAAUGACGUACAUAUAUAGCUAUAUAUGUACGUCAUUGGUCAGAGGUGUUUGAAAGAUGAAAACAGGAAGAGCAAGGAUGGUGCGGAGAAGCCCCUCAGAGUCAGAAGAAAGAUCCAGAACCAAGCAGCAGCGAAGAGCCACAUGUCCAGAGUGGGAGAUGUUCAGAGGGAGCUGAUGCCACAUCUGGUCCAGCCGAUGGAAGGUCUUGAAGUUCUCUGACUGAAGACAGUCCUGAUGUUAGUUAGCUGCAUUGUAACUUGCUUGCAAAGGAGGGCUAACCAAUAAACCAGUGGAAAGUUUCGAACAUAACUUUAACUGCUGUGGAAAUUGAAGGGAAAAAACUGGUGUUUACUGUUGUUGCCAGACAAGCAAUCACUUUGCUUUUGUCUUUACACAGAAUUACAACUUGCAUCUCUUUUGCAGUUAAUAUGUUUAGAGUGAGUUCAUUGUACCUUUAGUAGAAGUAUUGUGUGAAUGCGAAAUCCAUUCAGUCUACAUGCAUUUAUAAUGCAAUCCAAAAUGUUCAAAAUACUUGGCAUUCUUUGAUUAUUUUAACAGAAUAUGUUGCAAAUUAAAGUGCAUUCUGCAGUCUGCAGUGAAAUGCAUUUUAAAACUGUCCAUAAUAAUACACUCGGUUUGAGUUCUUUUGUUCAGACAAAUAAAGAUUAAAUAGAUGUUGA
Molecule: long non-coding RNA, 1154 nt
Organism: Acanthochromis polyacanthus (spiny chromis)
Lineage: Eukaryota; Metazoa; Chordata; Actinopteri; Pomacentridae
Exons: 4
Source: RefSeq, a predicted model, not a curated record